Molecule: ribosomal RNA, 460 nt
Filed under: uncultured bacterium
Lineage: Bacteria
Description: partial 16S ribosomal RNA
Rfam family: Bacterial small subunit ribosomal RNA
Source: RNAcentral
UCUACGGGCGGCAGCAGUGAGGAAUAUUGGUCAAUGGACGAGAGUCUGAACCAGCCAAGUAGCGUGAAGGAUGACUGCCCUAUGGGUUGUAAACCUCUUUUAUAAAGGAAUAAAGCGAGGCACGUGUGCCCUUUUGCGUGUACCUUAUGAAUAAGGAUCGGCUAACUCCGUGCCAGCAGCCGCGGUAAUACGGAGGAUGCGAGCGUUGUCCGGAUUUAUUGGGUUUAAAGGGUGCGUAGAUGGGUUGUUAAGUCAGUUGUGAAAGUCUGGGGCUCAACCGUAAAGUUGCAAUUGAUACUGGCAGUCUUGAGUACGGGUGAGGUAGGCGGAAUUCGUGGUGUAGCGGUGAAAUGCAUAGAUAUCACGAAGAACCCCGAUUGCGAAGGCAGCUUGCUAAACUGUGACUGACAUUGAUGCACGAAAGUGUGGGUAUCAAACAGGAUUAGAUACCCGUGUAGUC